UGGGGAAUAUUGGACAAUGGGCGGAAGCCUGAUCCAGCAAUACCGCGUGUGUGAAGAAGGCCCGAGGGUUGUAAAGCACUUUCAAUGGGGAGGAAAAAGGGUUGGCUAAUACCCGGCCUAUUGACAUUACCCAUACAAGAAGCACCGGCUAACUCCGUGCCAGCAGCCGCGGUAAUACGGAGGGUGCGAGCGUUAAUCGGAAUUACUGGGCGUAAAGCGUGCGUAGGCGGCCUGCCAAGCCAGGUGUGAAAGCCCCGGGCUCAACCUGGGAACGGCACUUGGAACUGGCAAGCUGGAGUUGGGUAGAGGGGAGUGGAAUUCCGGGUGUAGCGGUGAAAUGCGUAGAUAUCCGGAGGAACACCAGUGGCGAAGGCGGCUCCCUGGACCCAAACUGACGCUG
RNAcentral lists this ribosomal RNA (400 nucleotides) under uncultured bacterium. RNAcentral's name for it is "bacterial SSU rRNA". It matches the Rfam family "Bacterial small subunit ribosomal RNA", at positions 355 to 748 of the family's 1533-position model. The record is from RNAcentral.